AAGCUGUAUAACCCACAAGUUUUUGACGUCAGAAGUGGAAACAACUUCAGUUAUCAAUUCAAAUGAUAUCUAGUCGAUAUGUUGAAAACCGUGUUGUCUAGAUACAAUGGAUGUAUUUGCACGUUCUUAUUUUAGAACAUUACAGGAACGACAACAUGACAAACGCAGCAUGCCAAACAGAUGCUCCAAGUGUGUCAUCUUGCGGGGCUUAGAAUAUUAGCAAAUGCUUUAGAGGUUUUAUCUUGCAGCCAUGCACUUCAAUGGGAAUGCUGAGUCCCCACAACAGAAGACAGCCAAGGAGAAACUAUGUACAGACUUGCCAAACAAUUUAUCACCCUCUUCCUUAUUGGGAUGCCGUCCAGCGGAUUCCUGUGCCCCAGGACUUGUGUGC
Alosa alosa (allis shad) is the source of this 391-nucleotide long non-coding RNA. RefSeq lists it as uncharacterized. The record is from RefSeq and is a predicted model, not a curated record. The transcript is spliced from 3 exons. NCBI's taxonomy places the organism in Eukaryota, Metazoa, Chordata, Actinopteri, Clupeiformes, Clupeidae.